RNAcentral lists this long non-coding RNA (2049 nucleotides) under Homo sapiens (human). RNAcentral describes it as "HSALNT0305112". Lineage: Eukaryota; Metazoa; Chordata; Mammalia; Primates; Hominidae. The record is from RNAcentral.
CAUACACUCUAAUAUAAACUUAAGGUUUUGAGAAUGCAAUUAAAAAUAGGCUACUUUAAUGUAACAAUGAGUAAAACAUUAGCUAAUUUCUCCAAAAAGUCACUGUAAAGUGAGACAGAUAAAUUCAUUAAAUUGUUACAGUUAACCAAAAGCUGCUGUAAUACUGCUCAUUUCACGUAUAAGUCUAAAAUUAAAUAAACUGAGUGGCCUGAUAUGCUAAGUCACUGCUUAUUUCACUCUCAAACAUUUUUCUCACUCACAUAUUCAUUCAAAAUAUACUGAGUGAGCCCCAUCCUGUGUGCCAUCCUGUGAGCUAUGAUGGUAAACAAGAACAAUGCCUGUCUAUGACUUAAGAGGUACUGGAGGAGUGAGUUUUAACAACUAAACAGGCACUCUCAGUAGUCCCAGAGGCUGAGAAUAGUCAAGGGAGCACUGAGCAGGUCACCUAUCAUAGCCCAGGAGAGCAUGAAGAAUGGGUUCUGGGUAAGCUUGCUGGAGGAGGAGACCUGUAACUUGAAGGAAGAGCAGAAGUUAGCCUGGUGAAGAGAAGGGUGGACCAAACAUGUAAAUGCCCAGGGUGAGUGAAAGCACAGCAUGAGUAUGACCCCUGAAAAUAGUCUGCUAUGCUUAGAACACAGGCUGGGGAAAGGAGAAAGAGUUGAAGCUGGAGAAGAGUGCUGGGGAAAAUUCAUGAGGUCUUAGACCCUGCUGAGGAGUUUGGCCUUUCUUUUGAAUGAUCCAGGUAAGAGAGUGACACAAAUAGGCAGACUGAAAAGCAUUAAGUCUGGAGUUAAGGAGAGCUCUGUUGGGAACGUCCUCACGACAUGGCAGCUGGCUUACCCCAGAGUGAGUGAUUAGAGAGAGCAAAGAUGCAGCCACAGUAUCUUUUAUAACUUAGCCUCAGAAGGGAUGUGCCAUUAUUUCCACCAUGCUCUAUCAGUCACUCAGACCAACUCUGAUAAAAUGUGUUAGAGGACCACACAAGAUCAUGAAUAACAGGAAGCAAGGAUCACUGGGAGACAUCUCAAAGGCUGAUAAUGACAAAGAGCGAAACCAAACUGAGACCAGAGAUUCAAGUUCAACAAACUGAGGCUGGUAGAUUUUCUGGGGGACAGUACCCAAGAGAUGGAAGCUACAUAAAGAGAAAGAGAAAUCUGCAUAGUGAUCCCCUGGAGUUUCUGGCUGAAGGGCAGCCUGCCCAUGCAUAGGAACAAGCCCAACAAUUCUCAGAGCUCACACAGAGUUGGGAACUGUUUGAGUUUCCACUAGCCAGAGUGGAAAGGCCUCAGUAAAUAUACCAGGUAUUUGGAAGACAAGCAGAAAGACCACACCACAGAAGCACUGUUAAGUUUGCCCUAGACAAAAGGCUACUGCAGAACCAUCCUAAAAGAACUUAACAAGAAAACUGGAAAGCAUCAAACUGACCCACAAGGAACUUAAAUGUCUGCUAGAACAAAGUUGUUAAAGGACUACAACGUCCUCCAGCACUCAAAAAUGUGAAAUUCACAAUAUGCACCGACCAAACAAACAAAAAGCCUGCUUGGAUUUUGGCUGGGAUUAAACUGAACUUAUAGAUCAAUCUGGGAAGAACUGACAGUAUGAUGUUUGCUACAGAUUUUUCAUAGAUGCCUUUUAUCAGAGCUGCUUGAAACCACCUCUGCUUUCUAGCUGCUGGCUAGCCUGACUUCCCUCAGGAAAGACCCAUAAAAGGAAGAAUUGCCCCCAACAAAUGAGCAGAGCAUGAUCUGUUGUGUGAAAGGAAAGAGGCAUGACUUUGGAUCCUGUAGAAGCCAGUUUGCUCUACCCAGCAAAAAACUGCUCCUUAUCCUGAGACUUUAACUCUGGCAACCAAUUUUCCUAGUUAGGUUACUGGAAACAAUAAGAGGAAUUGGGCCACAAUGAAUACGAUCCAAUGAAAAUCCAGUGAAAUUCUUAAAAAACCUUGGUAGUUCUGGUAUCUCAGUAUUGACACAGAAAAGACAGGCCCUACCUAAUGAAUAUUUUAACUUUUAUCAACCUUAAAACUCUAAUUAAAAUGUUGUCCAGCAA